This 213-nucleotide unclassified non-coding RNA is filed under the name plant metagenome. RNAcentral describes it as "partial contains small subunit ribosomal RNA, internal transcribed spacer 1, and 5.8S ribosomal RNA". The record is from RNAcentral.
UUUCCGUAGGUGAACCUGCGGAAGGAUCAUUAAAAAUGAAGCCGGGAAACCGGUCCUUCUCACCCUUGAUUAUCUCAAAUUGUUGCUUUGGUGGGCCGCGCAAGCACCGGCUUCGGCUGGAUUGUGCCCGCCAGAGGACCACAACUCUGUAUUAUAUGUCGUCUGAGUAUUAUAAAAUAGUUAAAACUUUCAACAACGGAUCUCUUGGUUCUG